UACAGAGGUCUCGAGCGUUGUUCGGAUUCAUUGGGCGUAAAGGGUGCGUAGGUGGCAAGGUAAGUCGGAUGUGAAAUCUCGGGGCUCAACCCCGAAACUGCAUUCGAUACUGCCUGGCUAGAGUACUGGAGAGGAGAUUGGAAUUUACGGUGUAGCAGUGAAAUGCGUAGAUAUCAUGAGGAAUACCAGAGGCGAAGGCGACUACCUGGCUUGUUCUUGACGCUGAGGCGCAAAAGCUAGGGGAGCAAACGGG
Molecule: ribosomal RNA, 253 nt
Filed under: uncultured bacterium
Lineage: Bacteria
Description: partial 16S ribosomal RNA
Rfam family: Bacterial small subunit ribosomal RNA
Source: RNAcentral